UCUCCGUUGGUGAACCAGCGGAGGGAUCAUUACAGAGUUGCAAAACUCCCAACCAUUGUGAACCUACCUCACCGUUGCUUCGGCGGGUGGCCCUCUCCGGGGCCACGCCGGCCCCCCCGGGGUCGGCAACCCGUCAGAGGACCGAAACUCUUAGUAACUACUGGCCUCUCUGAGUAACUUAUACAAUAAGUCAAAACUUUCAACAACGGAUCUCUUGGUUCUG
This 223-nucleotide unclassified non-coding RNA is filed under the name root metagenome. RNAcentral's name for it is "partial contains small subunit ribosomal RNA, internal transcribed spacer 1, and 5.8S ribosomal RNA". The record is from RNAcentral.